GAAUUGAAUAACUGUUUAGGUGUGUGCUGCGUACAACAGCGCCUUAAAAGGGAAAUGGGUGUAAACCCCAUGCGGUCCCGCCACUGUAACGGUGAGCUGCCUAUAUAUUCCACUGAGGAUAGGAGACUGGUGUCAACCCCUUGGGAAGGAUUAGGAAAGCGAUGAACCUGAGCCAGGAGACCUGCCUAAAAUGAUUAUGCAAA
Molecule: non-coding RNA, 203 nt
Filed under: Clostridiales bacterium
Lineage: Bacteria; Bacillati; Bacillota; Clostridia; Eubacteriales
Source: RNAcentral